This 816-nucleotide ribosomal RNA is filed under the name Borreliella garinii. RNAcentral describes it as "bacterial SSU rRNA". It matches the Rfam family "Bacterial small subunit ribosomal RNA", at positions 44 to 859 of the family's 1533-position model. Lineage: Bacteria; Pseudomonadati; Spirochaetota; Spirochaetia; Spirochaetales; Borreliaceae. The record is from RNAcentral.
GCGUCUUAAGCAUGCAAGUCAAACGGGAUGUAGCAAUACAUCUAGUGGCGAACGGGUGAGUAACGCGUGGAUGAUCUACCUACGAGAUGGGGAUAACUAUUAGAAAUAGUAGCUAAUACCGAAUAAAGUCAAUUAAUUUGUUAAUUGAUGAAAGGAAGCCUUUAAAGCUUCGCUUGUAGAUGAGUCUGCGUCUUAUUAGCUAGUUGGUAGGGUAAAUGCCUACCAAGGCGAUGAUAAGUAACCGGCCUGAGAGGGUGAACGGUCACACUGGAACUGAGAUACGGUCCAGACUCCUACGGGAGGCAGCAGCUAAGAAUCUUCCGCAAUGGGCGAAAGCCUGACGGAGCGACACUGCGUGAAUGAAGAAGGUCGAAAGAUUGUAAAAUUCUUUUAUAAAUGAGGAAUAAGCUUUGUAGGAAAUGACGAAGUGAUGACGUUAAUUUAUGAAUAAGCCCCGGCUAAUUACGUGCCAGCAGCCGCGGUAAUACGUAAGGGGCGAGCGUUGUUCGGGAUUAUUGGGCGUAAAGGGUGAGUAGGCGGAUAUAUAAGUCUAUGCAUAAAAUACCACAGCUCAACUGUGGAACUAUGUUGGAAACUAUAUGUCUAGAGUCUGAUAGAGGAAGUUAGAAUUUCUGGUGUAAGGGUGGAAUCUGUUGAUAUCAGAAAGAAUACCGGAGGCGAAGGCGAACUUCUGGGUCAAGACUGACGCUGAGUCACGAAAGCGUAGGGAGCAAACAGGAUUAGAUACCCUGGUAGUCUACGCUGUAAACGAUGCACACUUGGUGUUAACUAAAAGUUAGUACCGAAGCUAACGUG